This 443-nucleotide ribosomal RNA is filed under the name uncultured bacterium. RNAcentral's name for it is "partial 16S ribosomal RNA". It matches the Rfam family "Bacterial small subunit ribosomal RNA", at positions 338 to 795 of the family's 1533-position model. The record is from RNAcentral.
CCUACGGGUGGCAGCAGUGGGGAAUAUUGGGCAAUGGGCGCAAGCCUGACCCAGCAACGCCGCGUGAAGGAAGAAGGCUUUCGGGUUGUAAACUUCUUUUUUUGAGGACGAAACAAAUGACGGUACUCACUGAAUAAGCCACGGCUAACUACGUGCCAGCAGCCGCGGUAAUACGUAGGUGGCAAGCGUUAUCCGGAUUUACUGGGUGUAAAGGGCGUGUAGGCGGGACUGCAAGUCAGAUGUGAAACCCAUGGGCUCAACCCAUGGACUGCAUUUGAAACUGUAGUUCUUGAGUGAAGGAGAGGCAGGCGGAAUUCGGUGUGUAGCGGUGAAAUGCGUAGAUAUCCGGAGGAACACCGGUGGCGAAGGCGGCCUGCUGGACUGUAACUGACGCUGAGGCGCGAAAGCGUGGGGAGCAAACAGGAUUAGAUACCCUAGUAGUC